Molecule: ribosomal RNA, 468 nt
Filed under: uncultured bacterium
Lineage: Bacteria
Description: partial 16S ribosomal RNA
Rfam family: Bacterial small subunit ribosomal RNA
Source: RNAcentral
GACGAACGCUGGCGGCGUGCUUAACACAUGCCAGUCGAACGGAAAGGCCCUGCUUUUGGGGGGUGCUCGAGUGGCGAAAGGAUGAGUAACACGUGAGUAACCUGCCCUUGACUUUGGGAUAACUUCAGGAAACUGGGGCUAAUACCGGAUAGGAGCUCCUGCUGCAUGGUGGGGGUUGGCAAGUUUCGGCGGUUGGGGAUGGACUCGCGGCUUAUCAGCUUGUUGGUGGGGUAGUGGCUUACCAAGGCUUUGACGGGUAGCCGGCCUGAGAGGGUGACCGGCCACAUUGGGACUGAGAUACGGCCCAGACUCCUACGGGAGGCAGCAGUGGGGAAUAUUGCACAAUGGGCGGAAGCCUGAUGCAGCAACGCCGCGUGCGGGAUGACGGCCUGCGGGUUGUAAACCGCUUUCGCCUGUGACGAAGCGUGAGUGACGGUAAUGGGUAAAGAAGCACCGGCUAACUACGUG